RNAcentral lists this ribosomal RNA (440 nucleotides) under uncultured bacterium. RNAcentral's name for it is "bacterial SSU rRNA". It matches the Rfam family "Bacterial small subunit ribosomal RNA", at positions 83 to 518 of the family's 1533-position model. The record is from RNAcentral.
CUGAGGUGGCGACCGGCGCACGGGUGAGUAACACGUAUGCAACCUGCCUGUAAGCGGGGAAUAACCCGUUGAAAGACGGACUAAUACCGCAUAAUACUAAAUUACUCGCAUGGUAAUUUAUUUUAAACAUUUAUGGCUUACAGAUGGGCAUGCGCAUGAUUAGCUAGUUGGAGAGGUAACGGCUCCCCAAGGCAACGAUCAUUAGGGGUUCUGAGAGGAAGGUCCCCCACACUGGUACUGAGACACGGACCAGACUCCUACGGGAGGCAGCAGUGAGGAAUAUUGGUCAAUGGACGAGAGUCUGAACCAGCCAAGUCGCGUGCAGGAAGAAUGUCCCUAUGGAUUGUAAACUGCUUUUGCAGGGGAAUAAAGUGCAUCACGUGUGAUGUUUUGUAUGUACUCUGCGAAUAAGGAUCGGCUAACUCCGUGCCAGCAGCCGC